UACAGAGGGUGCGAGCGUUAAUCGGAAUUACUGGGCGUAAAGCGCGCGUAGGCGGCUCUGCAAGCCGGAUGUGAAAUCCCCGGGCUCAACCUGGGAACUGCAUUCGGGACUGCAUUGCUAGAGUAUGGGAGAGGGAAGUGGAAUUUCAGGUGUAGCGGUGAAAUGCGUAGAUAUCUGAAGGAACAUCAGUGGCGAAAGCGACUUCCUGGACCAAUACUGACGCUCAUGUGCGAAAGCGUGGGGAGCAAACAGG
Molecule: ribosomal RNA, 253 nt
Filed under: uncultured bacterium
Lineage: Bacteria
Description: partial 16S ribosomal RNA
Rfam family: Bacterial small subunit ribosomal RNA
Source: RNAcentral